AGCCAGUACCGGUCUGUGGCUCAGAACCAGGAAUCCACAGGAGCUGUUACCAGAGGGACUGCAGCCAUAGAUGCUGGAGGUCACAUGGCACGGUCCCAUAACAUUCCCCAGCCAGGCCAGGAAGUCACCUUAUUGGAGUUACUAGGGUAUCUCAGUCACAUGCUGGGCAUCUCCUCUGGCAACCUUUGGUUUGCCUCAGGGGGCUACAUCAACACUGAGACACCUAGAAGGUUAUUAUCGCUGUCUAAUUUCAAACAGGCUCCACAAUGGAGGCCCGUCUUUGUGUGGGAUUAAUUUUCAAACCCCAGGAUUUGAUGUCGGUGGGAAAGCGGCAGCAUGGGACUCCCUCUACAGCCUUCUCCCCCUUCCGGCCAGCGCCAGGGGCUCCAUGGGAGAUGAAAACCCUGACAAGCCCUUCAGUCAAGCUGAAAGCAGGCAGCGGUCCAGUAACACCCACAAGCCCCCGGGGCAUCCCGUGACCCUUCCGAAAAGUCACGUUCACUUUGCUCUUGAGAAAGGAAAAAUAUCGCCGGAGGCAUUUUAUUUUAAACCAUGUGAAAUAAGGAAACGUGAAGAUGCGAGAAUGAAGUGGAAAAAAAAAAAAGUUCGAAUUCAUUUCCGUUCUUGCAACGGCUUAGAAACCAAACUGGUUCAUUUCGAAGGCGUGUGAAAAGAGAAUCCGAUCCAUUCACCAGCAGGCAGAGACCACGAAGUGCUUAAGAUUGUGGAAUCACAGGCGGGCACCACCAUGCCUCACUAAUCCACUGGGAAUUCUCUGAGUCUUGGUGUUGCCCCCUCAGCAAGAGGCUCCGGACCCCGGCAGAUGCUGCUUAAAGCACGUGCAUCCCUCGGGACGCACAGUUAUUUCGUCAAGUAUGAAGGAUUACUCUCCGGCUACCCAGGCCUACACAAGAGGCCCUUAUGGGCAGGUUGUAGCCCAUGAUAUUCAGGGUCGUGCAGCUGAGGAGCAGAAGGAAAGAUGGCGGCGUCAUAUACAUCCACUUGGUUUUCUCUAGGUUCCAGAUGUGAGUGUGCCCUCAGCUACUGUGCCAGCCACCAUGCCUGCAAGCUACUGCUCUGGCCACCAUGCCCACCUGCUACCACACUUUCCCACCGUGAUGGUAAUAGAUUGUUCCUCUGGAACUGUAUACAGGAAAUAAACCCGUCCUCUAUAA
Non-coding RNA from Rattus norvegicus (Norway rat), 1175 nucleotides. The record is from RefSeq and is a predicted model, not a curated record. NCBI's taxonomy places the organism in Eukaryota, Metazoa, Chordata, Mammalia, Rodentia, Muridae.